Molecule: ribosomal RNA, 253 nt
Filed under: uncultured bacterium
Lineage: Bacteria
Description: partial 16S ribosomal RNA
Rfam family: Bacterial small subunit ribosomal RNA
Source: RNAcentral
UACGGGGGGGGCAAGCGUUGUUCGGAAUUACUGGGCGUAAAGGGCGCGUAGGCGGCUCGCUAAGUCGGAUGUGAAAACUCUGGGCUCAACCCAGAGCCUGCAUUCGAAACUGACGAGCUAGAGUUCUGGAGGGGAAAGCGGAAUUCCUGGUGUAGCGGUGAAAUGCGCAGAUAUCAGGAGGAACACCGAUGGCGAAGGCAGGUCUCUGGGCCACUACUGACGCUGAGAAGCGAAAGCAUGGGGAGCGAACAGG